CUUGCUAGUAGGCGACGAGUGGCGGACGGGUGAGUAACGCGUAGGAAUCUACCUAGUAGUGGGGGAUAGCCAAGGGAAACUUUGGGUAAUACCGCAUACGAUCUAAGGAUGAAAGGGGGCCUCUCUUUGAAGCUCUCGCUAUUAGAUGAGCCUGCGUAAGAUUAGCUUGUUGGUGGGGUAAUGGCUCACCAAGGCGACGAUCUUUAACUGGUCUGAGAGGAUGAUCAGUCACACUGGAACUGAGACACGGUCCAGACUCCUACGGGAGGCAGCAGUCGGGAAUAUUGGACAAUGGGGGAAACCCUGAUCCAGCCAUGCCGCGUGUGUGAAGAAGGCUCUAGGGUUGUAAAGCACUUUUAGUAGGGAGGAAGGCUCGAUGGUUAAUACCCAUCGGGAUUGACGUUACCUACAGAAAAAGCACCGGCUAAUUUCGUGCCAGCAGCCGCGGUAAUACGAAAGGUGCAAGCGUUAAUCGGAAUUACUGGGCGUAAAGCGCGCGUAGGCGGCUUAGUAAGUUAGAUGUGAAAGCCCCGGGCUCAACCUGGGAACUGCAUCUAAAACUGCUAGGCUAGAGUAUGGUAGAGGAUGGCGGAAUUUCCUGUGUAGCGGUGAAAUGCGUAGAUAUAGGAAGGAACAUCAGUGGCGAAGGCGGCCAUCUGGACCAAUACUGACGCUGAGGUGCGAAAGCGUGGGGAGCAAA
This 700-nucleotide ribosomal RNA is filed under the name uncultured Gammaproteobacteria bacterium. Its description in RNAcentral is "bacterial SSU rRNA". It matches the Rfam family "Bacterial small subunit ribosomal RNA", at positions 77 to 772 of the family's 1533-position model. Lineage: Bacteria; Pseudomonadati; Pseudomonadota; Gammaproteobacteria. The record is from RNAcentral.